Molecule: non-coding RNA, 114 nt
Filed under: Conticribra weissflogii
Lineage: Eukaryota; Bacillariophyta; Thalassiosirophyceae; Thalassiosirales; Thalassiosiraceae
Source: RNAcentral
UCGCGCUGGUGCCGCCGAAAAUUUUACCAACCCGAAGAAACUACUCGAAGAAUAUCAUAAUUUGAAAAUCGAAGAUGUUCAAGCAUGGGCCGCAUACAAUUGGGGAUCUAACGA